CCUACGGGUGGCAGCAGUUGGGAAUAUUGGACAAUGGGCGCAAGCCUGACCCAGCAACGCCGCGUGAAGGAAGACGGCCCUCGGGUUGUAAACUUCUUUUAUCAAGGACGAAACAAAUGACGAUACUUGAUGAAUAAGCCACUGCUAACUACGUGCCAGCAGCCGUGGUAAUACGUAGGGGGCAAGCGUUAUGCGGAUUUACUGGUUUUAAAGGGCGUGUAGGCGGGACUGCAAGUAAGAUGGGAAAACCAUGGGCGUAAACCAGGGACUGCAUGUGAAACUGUAGUUCUUGAGUGUAGGAGAGGCAGGCGGAAUUCCGUGUGUAGCGGUGAAAUGCGUAGAUAUACGGAGGAACACCAGUGGCGAAGGCGGCCUGCUGGACAAUAACUGACGCUGAGGCGCGAAAGCGUGGGGAGCAAACAGGAUUAGAUACCCGUGUAGUC
RNAcentral lists this ribosomal RNA (443 nucleotides) under uncultured bacterium. RNAcentral describes it as "partial 16S ribosomal RNA". It matches the Rfam family "Bacterial small subunit ribosomal RNA", at positions 338 to 795 of the family's 1533-position model. The record is from RNAcentral.